AAACCGGUUGAUCCUGCCGGACCUGACCGCUAUCGGGGUGGGGCUAAGCCAUGCGAGUCGCGCGCCCGGGGCGCCGGGCGCGGCGCACGGCUCAGUAACACGUGCCCAACCUACCCUCGGGAGGGGGACAACCCCGGGAAACUGGGGCUGAUCCCCCAUAGGGGAAGGGCGCUGGAAGGCCCCUUCCCCCAAAGGGAUCUCGGGCGAUCUCCCGGGAUCCGCCCGAGGAUGGGGGCACGGCCCAUCAGGUUGUUGGCGGGGUAACGGCCCGCCAAGCCGAAGACGGGUAGGGGCGGUGAGAGCCGUGAGCCCCGAGAUGGGCACUGAGACAAGGGCCCAGGCCCUACGGGGUGCAGCAGGCGCGAAUACUCCGCAAUGCGGGCAACCGCGACGGGGCCACCCCGAGUGCCGGGCGAAGAGCCCGGCUUUUGCCCGGUGUAAGGAGCCGGGCGAAUAAGCGGGGGGUAAGUCUGGUGUCAGCCGCCGCGGUAAUACCAGCCCCGCGAGUGGUCAGGGUGAUUACUGGGCUUAAAGCGCCCGUAGCCGGCCCGGCAAGUCGCUCCUGAAAUCCCCGGGCUCAACCCGGGGGCCGGGGGCGAUACUGCCGGGCUAGGGGGCGGGAGAGGCCGCCGGUACUCCGGGGGUAGGGGCGAAAUCCUAUAAUCCCCGGAGGACCACCAGUGGCGAAAGCGGGCGGCCAGAACGCGCCCGACGGUGAGGGGCGAAAGCCGGGGGAGCAAAGGGGAUUAGAUACCCCUGUAGUCCCGGCUGUAAACGAUGCGGGCUGGCUGUCGGCCGGGCUUAGGGCCCGGCCGGUGGCGUAGGGAAACCGUUAAGCCCGCCGCCUGGGGAGUACGGCCGCAAGGCUGAAACUUAAAGGAAUUGGCGGGGGGGCACCACAAGGGGUGAAGCUUGCGGCUUAAUUGGAGUCAACGCCGGAAACCUUACCCGGGGCGACAGCAGGAUGAAGGCCAGGCUAACGACCUUGCCGGACGAGCUGAGAGGAGGUGCAUGGCCGUCGUCAGCUCGUGCCGUGAGGUGUCCGGUUAAGUCCGGCAACGAGCGAGACCCCCACCCCUAGUUGCUUCCCCGCUCUUCGGGACGGGGGGCACACUAGGGGGACUGCCGGCGUAAGCCGGAGGAAGGAGGGGGCCACGGCAGGUCAGUAUGCCCCGAAACCCCGGGGCUGCACGCGAGCUGCAAUGGCGGGGACAGCGGGAUCCGACCCCGAAAGGGGGAGGCAAUCCCGUAAACCCCGCCCCAGUAGGGAAUCGAGGGCUGCAACUCGCCCUCGUGAACGUGGAAUCCCUAGUAACCGCGUGUCACCAACGCGCGGUGAAUACGUCCCUGCCCCUUGCACACACCGCCCGUCGCACCACCCGAGGGAGUUCUCUGCGAGGCCCCUUGCCUGGGGCAACCCGGGUGGGGGGACGAGCAGAGAACUCCCGAGGGGGGUGAAGUCGUAACAAGGUAGCCGUAGGGGAACCUGCGGCUGGAUCACCUCCU
This 1506-nucleotide ribosomal RNA is filed under the name Thermoproteus uzoniensis 768-20. RNAcentral's name for it is "Archaeal small subunit ribosomal RNA". It matches the Rfam family "Archaeal small subunit ribosomal RNA". The record is from Rfam by way of RNAcentral. Lineage: Archaea; Thermoproteati; Thermoproteota; Thermoprotei; Thermoproteales; Thermoproteaceae.